RNAcentral lists this ribosomal RNA (338 nucleotides) under uncultured Prevotella sp. Its description in RNAcentral is "bacterial SSU rRNA". It matches the Rfam family "Bacterial small subunit ribosomal RNA", at positions 9 to 338 of the family's 1533-position model. Lineage: Bacteria; Pseudomonadati; Bacteroidota; Bacteroidia; Bacteroidales; Prevotellaceae. The record is from RNAcentral.
GAGUUCGAUCAUGGCUCAGGAUGAACAGCUAGCUACAGGCUUAACACAUGCAAGUCGAGGGGCAGCCCGACGAUAGCUUGCUAUUGUUGCUGGCGACCGGCGCACGGGAGAGUAACGCGUAUCCAACCUUCCCUAUAGUAGGGGAUAGCCCGGCGAAAGUCGGAUUAAUACCCUAUGUUAUUCAAUGCGGACAUCUAAGUUGAAUCAAAGGCUUGCCGCUAUAGGAUGGGGAUUUUUUUGAUUAGCUUGUUGGCGGGGUAACGGCCCACCAAGGCGACGAUCAGUAGGGGUUCUGAGAGGAAGGUCCCCCACAUUGGUACUGAGCCAGGAUCAAACUC